This is a small nucleolar RNA of Neoarius graeffei (lesser salmon catfish), 76 nucleotides long. RefSeq annotates it as small nucleolar RNA SNORD66. The record is from RefSeq and is a predicted model, not a curated record. Lineage: Eukaryota; Metazoa; Chordata; Actinopteri; Siluriformes; Ariidae. The transcript has a single exon.
CUGCUCCGAUGACCUCAGUUUUGUGCCACGUGUCUGGGCCGCUGAUGAUCGCUGAUGGUGUUGAGGAACUGAGGCG